This 478-nucleotide ribosomal RNA is filed under the name uncultured bacterium. Its description in RNAcentral is "partial 16S ribosomal RNA". It matches the Rfam family "Bacterial small subunit ribosomal RNA", at positions 28 to 507 of the family's 1533-position model. The record is from RNAcentral.
GAUGAACGCUAGCGGCAGGCCUAACACAUGCAAGUCGAGGGAGAAGCCCUUUCGGGGGCAGAAACCGGCGCACGGGUGCGUAACGCGUAUGCAACCUACCUUUCACAGGGGGAUAGCCCGAAGAAAUUUGGAUUAAUACCCCAUAAUAUUAUUGGAUGGCAUCAUUUGAUAAUUAAAACUGCGGUGGUGAAAGAUGGGCAUGCGUCCUAUUAGCUAGUUGGAGUGGUAACGGCACCCCAAGGCUACGAUAGGUAGGGGUCCUGGGAGGGAGAUCCCCCACACUGGUACUGAGACAGGGACCAGACUCCUACGGGAGGCAGCAGUGAGGAAUAUUGGUCAAUGGUCGGAAGACUGAACCAGCCAUGCCGCGUGCAGGAAGAAUGCCUUAUGGGUUGUAAACUGCUUUUAUAUGGGAAGAAUAAGGUGUACGUGUACAUUGAUGACGGUACCAGAUGAAUAAGCAUCGGCUAACUCCGUG